This 253-nucleotide ribosomal RNA is filed under the name uncultured bacterium. Its description in RNAcentral is "partial 16S ribosomal RNA". It matches the Rfam family "Bacterial small subunit ribosomal RNA", at positions 524 to 776 of the family's 1533-position model. The record is from RNAcentral.
UACGUAGGGUGCGAGCGUUGUCCGGAAUUAUUGGGCGUAAAGGGCUCGUAGGCGGUCUGUUGCGUCGGGAGUGAAAACUCAGGGCUUAACCCUGAGCCUGCUUCCGAUACGGGCAGACUAGAGGUAUGCAGGGGAGAACGGAAUUCCUGGUGUAGCGGUGAAAUGCGCAGAUAUCAGGAGGAACACCGGUGGCGAAGGCGGCGUUCUGGACUGCAACUGACACUGAGGAACGAAAGCCAGGGGAGCAAACGGG